This 323-nucleotide ribosomal RNA is filed under the name uncultured Chloroflexota bacterium. Its description in RNAcentral is "bacterial SSU rRNA". It matches the Rfam family "Bacterial small subunit ribosomal RNA", at positions 28 to 351 of the family's 1533-position model. The record is from RNAcentral. Lineage: Bacteria; Bacillati; Chloroflexota.
GAUGAACGCUGGCGGCGUGCCUAACACAUGCAAGUCGUACGAGUAGCCCUAGAUUCGUCUGGGGUGAGCGUGGCAAACGGGUGAGUAACACGUAGGUGACCUACCCCAAAGUGGGGGACAACCACUGGAAACGGUGGCUAAUACCCCAUAGGCUGGGCUGAGCGAUCAGCCGAGUAAAGCUUUCGGGUGCUUUGGGAGGGGCCUGCGGCCCAUCAGGUAGUUGGUAGGGUAACGGCCUACCAAGCCGAUGACGGGUAGGGGGCGUGAGAGCGUGAUCCCCCACACUGGCACUGCGACACGGGCCAGACUCCUACGGGAGGCAG